RNAcentral lists this long non-coding RNA (5837 nucleotides) under Bemisia tabaci. Its description in RNAcentral is "lncRNA ENSSSA2NGG004385". Lineage: Eukaryota; Metazoa; Arthropoda; Insecta; Hemiptera; Aleyrodidae. The record is from RNAcentral.
AAAUCUCAACACUGAUGAGGAGCCGAGAGAAGAAAACCAGCCGGGGCUUCGGUGUAAAAGUUGAAGCAGCACAAUUUAAACGAAUCCAAAUGAAGACAAAGAGAUGAAAAACGAAAGCAAUGUGAUCCACCCGUCGUUUCCGCCAUGACCACUCCGCUCAAAAGGCGAAAGAUCAUCCUUUUUCUGUUUACCCUGAAAUUAUUGACCAUCUACUACUUCUUCCGAUCUCGCUCAGCCGAAGAUGAUACAGAAACCCCAAUAUCUUCAUCGCUCAAACGCUGGCCAUCUCUGCCCUCCUUUCGUCCCUGGAUACCGACCCUCGAUGUGCCCGUUGGGUCCUGCGAGGGGUAUUUCGGGAAUGGGUUCACCCAGCAAAUUACCGUCCUCGGAGAGGGCUCUCCCGGUUGGUUCAGGUGUUUCUACAGUGCGACUUUACAGACCUCGGUCUGCGAAGGCGGGGGCAUCCGGAUGGACCCGGAAAAGAUCUCCAUGUCGAAAGGCGGCGAGCCUUGGAGUCGGUCAUGGGUAGGAAAGAAGAAGACGAGCUGCCGGUGUUCCAUGACGGGGCUUUUGAAAUUGGCGUCUCAGAUGGAUCUCGCGCCGGGAGAAAUCUCGUGAACGAAGAGUUCCUGAACAGAUAUGUGCCCAGAGGUGCUGUGAAUCGACAUCCCAUGCGAGCAUUGAUGGCCUCCACUCGUUUAGUUGACGCAAAUAAGAUUCAAUGUUCUGAAUGGGUCGAGGAACCGACACUCUUGGUGACGCGCUUCGAAUACGCAAACCUUUUUCAUACCUUGACAGAUUGGUACAGUGCAUACGUGGCCUCUAGAGUUGUCGGCUUACCUAGGCGGCCUCAUGUGGUUUUCGUGGAUGGUCAUUGUCAGUCGGCACUGGAUGAAAUGUGGAGGGCCUUAUUUUCAAGCCUGAGGUUUGCCAAAAGCUUCGCCGGACCUGUUUGUUUUCGCCACGCAAUCCUCGUGCCUUUGGGAUACCAAACUGCCAUGUUCGAGGGACUUGACGGGAGGAUAGACUGCUCUGGUGUCACUCCGAAGGAACUUGAGCAACAUCCCAACACCACAAAGACAACUCGACUAGCAGAAUUCGGGGAGAUGAUGAGGGCCGCCGUCGGUUUACCACCGAACGAACACCGCUCGUCGUGGACUUCGGGUCACACCAUCCUCUUCAUCAGACGCGAGAACUACGUCGCCCACCUCGCGCUACCGGAAAAGUGGAGAGCAGGUUCAGCAACGAAAAACAACUCCUCGCUUCCUUGAAGAUCUGGGCCGCCAAUUAUUCCGGGUGUAAAUUGAACGUGGUCAACGGACUCUUCGCUCAUAUGCACAUGGAAGAUCAAAUCGAGAUCAUUCAACAUUCUACCAUCAUCGUAGGCGCUCAUGGGGCCGGCUUGUCGCACAUCAUAUCCGCUCUCCCAAACACGUCAGUUCUUGAGAUCUUGAGUCCCGGCUACAGACGGCCUCAUUUUGCACUCAUCGCCAAGUGGAAAGGGUUGAACUACCACCCUUUGUACCUCAAUAGUUCCUAUGCACAUCCUGUUGCUGUGAUCAAGGUGCUUGAUGACAUUGUAAAGGGUCUUGAUUGUUGAAGAUCCAUUUGGACUUAUUUUUGCUGAAUGGAACCAGAGACAGGUGGGAAAGGAGGGGUGUGCUCGUUGGUCGAGGGCCGUAAGAAUGAAUGGGAUUGUGAAGCAUCAGUGACGUCAGCAGCAACGGAUUCGGGAUCACGCCUAGUUUUACAUUGAUACUUACAUAGGUCUCCACGAGCACAUCCCAUCUCUCCCACACGUCUUAUAGUUCCGUUUAGUAGAAAUACCUCCAUUUAUGGGAAAGUUGAGACAUCUCAAGUUCUGGAUAUCAUUUACGGCCAGAGAUAUUACACGGUUAGUGGAGUUUUCGUGAAUUUUUUUGUUCAACUCAUUCACGGAUUCCUUUUCUACAUUCUCUGUUUGAAUAUGUUUGUUCCUAGUCAUACCCUUAAUUCUCUAGUCAGGUUUUUUCUAGUUCAUAAUUUUUGCGAUAGGUAAAAAUGUCAUUUUUCUGCCCGUUUUGACACCAUGGGAACUUUAAAGAUAAUGGAGCCAUUCGAAAUAGAUUCCGUAUGUGUAAAAUUUAAAAAAUUUACAUACUCAACGACUUGUGUAGUGAUUUAAGCUCCUGUAUCAUUUUCUCAUAGAUUCCGUAUGCCUUACCAUUCAAUAUUAUGAGACUCCACGCUGGCCUAGCUAUCCAUAGCUCAAUUGAUCAGUUAAGCGUGCUGGGGGAAUGUGGCAGGCUGCGAUAAAUUGCGAUACAUGAUCAAAUUAUUGCCACAGCACUAGCAAAUUGUGUAUGUUGCCUAUCCACUAAUCGUGGGGACGUGGGGGUUUAUUUAAUUGAAAUGCAUUGCAGUAAAAUUUAAUUUAAUUACAAUAUCUUUUCAUUUAAAAUUGCCGGCUUCUGAUCGUCUGAUCGUGUGAAAUAGGCAUUUGUUGACCAAAUGAUGUCAAAAUAUUGAAAGUCUGUCGCAAAUUAAUUGCUACAUUUUCGGUAAAAAACGCUUUGAGAGCAUGUCAGAUGCAGAUUACAAAACCGAGCAAAAUAAUACAUAUUACAAAUCAACGGCGAAACACUACCAAACCACGUAUCUCGUUUGCGGUGUUAAAAAAUCUACGCUCACAUUUUAUUUUUUUGAAGUAGACCAAAUCAAUAUCAUUCCUUGAAAUUUUCACAGAAUUUUCUCCGCACAAAGAGGAAAAAUCACAGAAAUUUUCAAGACUGGACGUUGAGUAGUUUUUCAUUUAAAAAUAAAGUACGACAGGAAGUCUGCGACGUCGCAAACCGAGAUACGUGGUUUGGUAGUUUCACCGUCGAAAUAUUAUGAAUAAAAGUCUGCUUAAGCAUCAAUUUCCUACGUCUCGCAUUACCAGAUCAGAGCUAUCGUUCUUUAAAAAAUCAGAAACACAAAUUGCGUUUGACAUUAUUCACUUGCGUCAGUGGAUAGUCUGCGUAGUCUUUUCCCCUCUCGUUAUAUAUCGAUGAUUCAUCAGGGGCAACCAUUUUGAGUGGGUGCAUCACUUGGUGAUGAAUUCGAGCUGCAAAAAUGCACUUAGGUCCGUAGCCUAUAUGUAUUGGUGAAUGACGCAGGUGGGUGAUACAUAACUACAACUACUCACGUAAGUCAAAAAUUACACAAAGCACCAUGACGCAAACAAAAUUCAAUGAAAUUCGAAUGUUUCAUCAGAUUCAGCAUAUCACAAAUAGCGCGAAACUUAGCUUGAACUCAGAUUCAGAAUUUUCAAGUAAUCGAAAUUGCCCUCCAGCCUCCAAUUACACCUUAAUUCAUGACCCGAGCCUCUUGUUUGUAAAGAAUUUCGGCCCGAUUCUUACACUUCUUAAAGUAUGUUUGAAUUUCGUCUAAAAAAUGUGUACAAUAUUUAUGGGUACAGCCGGAGAAUGCGUAUGUCCAUUGUAACAUGCUAAAAUGUCUCUUAUGUUUAGAAAUAAAAUAACCAAAACAUCUAAUUGAAGUUUCCUUUUAUUAUUUUUGAAUGAAUAAACAUGCACAAAAAACAUUAGAAAAACUAUUAUUUUGUUAAUUAAAAAAAUAGAGCAUGAGCGCAUAUCAUUGAAAGUUGUAAUCGGAGGCAUACGGAUUUUCAGACUAUAGUCAUCAAUACUUUUCAAAACGCAUGUGUACUUAGGUACACCAAAAAAUUAAAUCGGAGGAAGAAAUUGUAAAUAUCUAAUAAUUUAUUAAUGUAGCAAGAUGUGAAACUUUAUUUGUAAAUUGUGCUGUGCUUUAAGAUGUGUUCCUCUGAGAUGUAUAAUAUACUUAGGACACGCGUAUUUUUUAUAAUAUUUUUAAAAUACAUAUGUUUUUGUUAUAGAUUAAUUAGUAGGCGUCUGUUGUUAUCACCAUGAUUGCAAUUAAUAUUGCUCAACUUCAAAUUCCGCUUAGAUAAUAUUCAGUAGACUCUUCAGACAUAAUUCAGUAUUUAAAACCAUUAUUGUACGUCUAUCAUCGAUCCUUGCAAAUUUCAAUCAUUGAAAUAUAUGGAUUGCAUUUUGCAAAAAGGAACCACUAGCAUUGCAAUGAUGCUAUGAUUGCGCAGCUUCAACCUUUGCAAUAAAAUUGCGGAAAUUGUGAAAAACUAUGAAAUUUAAAUGGUAAUUUUUGCCUUAAAUUUACUGUUUUAAGCGAGUAAAAUAGAAACUAUUAAUGGAUAAUCGGAUUUUUCCUCCAAGGUCAAAGAAGUUGCACAAUCUUAGCAACAUUGCAAUGCUGGUGGUUCCUUUUUGCAAAAUGCAAUCCAUAUGUAAGACACUAGGUGUCUCCCCCCCCCCUUCGAUCGGGAGUCCCGACUUUAAGAAGCAUGACCACUGGCUCCCCUUCCCCACCUCCUAAAGACUGGUGGGAAGGGGGAGAAGGUUCAGGACGUGAAAUCCGGAUUCCUUAUUGGGGUCAAUUCCAUAAGUAACUCCUCGGUCCCCGACCUCAAAUGACUUAAAAAUAAACCGAGGAAAAACCUGUUGCGGAGCCGAUUUUUAUUUAGCGCGCAACCGGAGAAGUUCCCGCUUAUUUGAAAAUUGGCGCGUCAAUUUGAAUAUUUUGCAAAGCGCGGCACUGAAUUGGCGGGAACCAAUAGGAAUUGAUGUUUCGCCUUGAUUACAUCCGUGUUAUUUUGAUAACAAGUUGUAAACAAACUUGCGUGGUUCUUCAUCUUCCCGUGGGUGUUGCAAAUUUUUUUGCAAACCUUUGGAAUGGUGGAGACGGAAGAAGAACUAAAACUGGCUGUAUGAAAAGAUAACCAAAGCAACUCGAUGUUAUCGCUCAAAAACACUUAUCCGACCGCGAGAAAAGAAUAUAAAAAACUGAGGACAUUAAUAGCCGAGACUUCGUGUUGUUGUCAAUAACAGGAUGAAGCAUCUGACAAAGAUUUUUGGAAAACUUAUCUCUUCUUGGUUUGAAUUAUAGGUACUUUUCUUCUCACACGCGCUACUUUUAUACCAGUUAGUCUGAUAAGACAAGACACAAUGUGUCAUUUCCUUGCUCCAAACAUUUACAAGUUGACACGGCUACAGCCUGGAGAUUAAAGCAGGACUGACCAUGAAGGCUAUUUAUUUUAGCUUAAAAUGAGUUUACGCAAGUGUUGACCUCCCAUAACAAAUCAACGGAUAUUCAUAUCAACAUGGGCUCGUUGUCUUGGGACCUUUUCUAGGUUGGGAUUCCUCCAAUCACAGUGUUUGAAACCGAUAUUUCGGCCAUCACCUCUCCAAUACAGGUAGGUAGCAAGUUGUACUGGUGUAAAUUUUGUGGUGGAACCCGGAGAACAAAAAAUCAUUUAAAUUACAGUGUUCUCACGUUAACGUUCGUAAAUAUAUAUUUUAUAUUUUGAAAUUAUGAUUGCAAACAUUACUGCAUGAAAUUUAACAAGAGUAUUUUUGAAAAUGAUUAUACAAACCAAAUCGUAUUUUGGAUACAAAUACCGAUUAUAUAGAUCCUUUUUAAAAUUAAUAUUUGCUAACAUGAAAGUCGCAACAUCAAAAACCAUAUGUGCGUAUUUUUUGCGUUAGCGUCAAUUUUAGGCGAACGAAUUUUCAAAUGUCAGGAGUCAAGUAAUAUUAAAAGUCAAUCCCUAUAUCAAGUGCAAUGCACACAUGCAUUGUAAAAGUAGUGAUAGCUACCCAAUCAAUACAAUGAGAUACCUCGACGAUAGAUUGAUCGUGAAGAUAAUAUACACGCACCGACUCACAGUGGAACGAGUCUUCGGAAAAAUUGUACAAUUUUACGUUUAUCUAGUCACAAUUUUAAUUUUAAGGGGUGCUUUUGAUAGUAAAUUUUAC